GGGGAAUAUUGCGCAAUGGGGGGAACCCUGACGCAGCCAUGCCGCGUGAAUGAAGAAGGCCUUCGGGUUGUAAAGUUCUUUCGGUAUUGAGGAAGGUUGAUGUGUUAAUAGCACAUCAAAUUGACGUUAAAUACAGAAGAAGCACCGGCUAACUCCGUGCCAGCAGCCGCGGCAAUACGGAGGGUGCGAGCGUUAAUCGGAAUAACUGGGCGUAAAGGGCACGCAGGCGGUUAUUUAAGUGAGGUGUGAAAGCCCCGGGCUUAACCUGGGAAUUGCAUUUCAGACUGGGUAACUAGAGUACUUUAGGGAGGGGUAGAAUUCCACGUGUAGCGGUGAAAUGCGUAGAGAUGUGGAGGAAUACCGAAGGCGAAGGCAGCCCCUUGGGAAUGUACUGACGCUCAUGUGCGAAAGCGUGGGGAGCAAACAGGAUUAGAUACCCUGGUAGUCCACGCUGUAAACGCUGUCGAUUUGGGGGUUGGGGUUUAACUCUGGCGCCCGUAGCUAACGUGAUAAAUCGACCGCCUGGGGAGUACGGCCGCAAGGUUA
RNAcentral lists this ribosomal RNA (546 nucleotides) under uncultured bacterium. RNAcentral's name for it is "bacterial SSU rRNA". It matches the Rfam family "Bacterial small subunit ribosomal RNA", at positions 356 to 896 of the family's 1533-position model. The record is from RNAcentral.